GGUAGUUUAUGAAACUGUUAUAUAAAUAAAUAUUAUAGCACCUUAACUGAAUUGGUCAAUAUAUUGAUAACUAAGGGAUCUUGAAAAAGUUUAGAGGCACAUACCUAGAGAACCUAAAUAAAUAUUGACACACCCUUUGGAAGGUAUGUCGAAUUGCUCAAAUUUGAUCUUAUGAUUUUUUUUUUAUUAGACUCUAGUGCAUAUUACGCACUUUAGUAUAGGGUCUA
RNAcentral lists this long non-coding RNA (227 nucleotides) under Elaeis guineensis (African oil palm). RNAcentral describes it as "long non-coding RNA (EGUI_LNC054598)". Lineage: Eukaryota; Viridiplantae; Streptophyta; Magnoliopsida; Arecales; Arecaceae. The record is from RNAcentral.